RNAcentral lists this ribosomal RNA (253 nucleotides) under uncultured bacterium. Its description in RNAcentral is "partial 16S ribosomal RNA". It matches the Rfam family "Bacterial small subunit ribosomal RNA", at positions 524 to 776 of the family's 1533-position model. The record is from RNAcentral.
UACGUAGGGUGCAAGCGUUAAUCGGAAUUACUGGGCGUAAAGGGCUCGUAGGCGGCCAACUAAGUCGGACGUGAAAUCCCCAGGCUCAACCUGGGAACUGCGUCCGAUACUGGAUGGCUUGAAUUCGGGAGAGGGAUGCAGAAUUCCAGGUGUAGCGGUGAAAUGCGUAGAUAUCUGGAGGAAUACCGGUGGCGAAGGCGGCAUCCUGGACCGACAUUGACGCUGAGGAGCGAAAGCUAGGGGAGCAAACGGG